This 407-nucleotide ribosomal RNA is filed under the name uncultured bacterium. RNAcentral describes it as "partial 16S ribosomal RNA". It matches the Rfam family "Bacterial small subunit ribosomal RNA", at positions 30 to 526 of the family's 1533-position model. The record is from RNAcentral.
AUUGAACGCUGGCGGCAGGCCUAACACAUGCAAGUCGAGAGGAGCGGCGGACGGGUGAGUAAUGUAUGGGGAUCUGCCCGAUAGAGGGGGAUAACUACUGGAAACGGUAGCUAAUACCGCAUACUAUCGGAUGAACCCAUAUGGGAUUAGCUAGUUGGUGGGGUACAGGCCUACCAAGGCGACGAUACGUAACUGGUGUGAGAGGAUGAUCAGUCACACUGGAACUGAGAAACGGUCCAGACUCCUACGGGAGGCAGCAGUGGGGAAUAUUGGACAAUGGUCGAAAGCCUGAUCCAGCCAUGCCGCGUGUGUGAAGAAGGUCUUCGGAUUGUAAAGCACUUUAAGUUGGGAGGCGUUACCAACAGAAUAAGCACCGGCUAACUUCGUGCCAGCCGCCGCGGUAAUUC